UAGUCCACGCCGUAAACGAUGGUUACUAGCUGUUCGGUUUUCGGACUGAGUGGCUAAGCGAAAGUGAUAAGUAACCCACCUGGGGAGUACGUUCGCAAGAAUGAAACUCAAAGGAAUUGACGGGGGCCCGCACAAGCGGUGGAGCAUGUGGUUUAAUUCGAUGAUACGCGAGGAACCUUACCAGGGCUUAAAUGUAGAUUGACAGGACUAGAGAUAGUUUUUUCUUCGGACAAUUUACAAGGUGCUGCAUGGUUGUCGUCAGCUCGUGCCGUGAGGUGUCAGGUUAAGUCCUAUAACGAGCGCAACCCCUGUUGUUAGUUGCCAUCGAGUAAUGUCGGGAACUCUAACAAGACUGCCGGUGCAAACCGCGAGGAAGGUGGGGAUGACGUCAAAUCAUCACGGCCCUUACGUCCUGGGGCCACACACGUGCUACAAUGGUAGGGGACAGAGAGCAGCCACUAGGUGACUAGGAGCGAAUCUACAAACCCUAUCUCAGUUCGGAUCGGAGUCUGCAACUCGAC
Molecule: ribosomal RNA, 521 nt
Filed under: uncultured bacterium
Lineage: Bacteria
Description: bacterial SSU rRNA
Rfam family: Bacterial small subunit ribosomal RNA
Source: RNAcentral